This 507-nucleotide antisense RNA is filed under the name Sphaerisporangium krabiense. RNAcentral describes it as "Saccharopolyspora sRNA 350". It matches the Rfam family "Saccharopolyspora sRNA 350". The record is from Rfam by way of RNAcentral. Lineage: Bacteria; Bacillati; Actinomycetota; Actinomycetes; Streptosporangiales; Streptosporangiaceae.
UGGAUGGUGUGUUCCCAGGUGGCGUCGCCGGUGGUGGUGAGGGUGUGGUCGCCGUAGUGGUCGCCGUCGGCGAGGGUGGCCAGGAUGGUGUUGUCGCCGUAGGGGCCGGUGCCGAUCUUGUUGACUUUGCCGUGGGCGAUGAGGAUGAGGCGGUCGGCGGGUUGGCCGGUUUGGGUGAUGGCUUCGCCGGUUUGGUGGUGGUUUUGGGUGAAGCGUUGGGCGAGGGCGUGGAGGGUGUCGUCGUCGUCGAAGUGGCGGAGGAGGGGGAGUUCGCGGAGUUCUUGGGGGAUGACGUGGAUGUCGGUGCCUUGGCUGGUGAAGCUGAGGCGGCCGUCGCCCAGGGCGUAGGACAGGCGGCGGUUGACGCGGUAGGUGCCGCCGCUGGUGUGGAUCCAGGGGAGCAUGCGCAGCAGCCAGCGCGAGGAGAUGUUCUGCAUCUGGGGCUGCGAUUUGGUCGUCGUGGCCAGGUUGCGGGCGGCCGCGGUGGCCAGUGCCUGCUGGGCCUGG